GCCCCUGUAGCUCAAUGGAUCGAGCAAGGGACUUCUAAGCCCGAGAUGGGGGUUCGAUUCCCUCCAGGGGCA
RNAcentral lists this transfer RNA (72 nucleotides) under Patescibacteria group bacterium. RNAcentral's name for it is "tRNA-Arg". It matches the Rfam family "tRNA". From Rfam's summary of the family: Transfer RNA (tRNA) molecules are approximately 80 nucleotides in length. Their secondary structure includes four short double-helical elements and three loops (D, anti-codon, and T loops). Further hydrogen bonds mediate the characteristic L-shaped molecular structure. tRNAs have two regions of fundamental functional importance: the anti-codon, which is responsible for specific mRNA codon recognition, and the 3' end, to which the tRNAs corresponding amino acid is attached (by aminoacyl-tRNA synthetases). tRNAs cope with the degeneracy of the genetic code in two manners: having more than one tRNA (with a specific anti-codon) for a particular amino acid; and 'wobble' base-pairing, i.e. permitting non-standard base-pairing at the 3rd anti-codon position. The record is from RNAcentral.